Molecule: ribosomal RNA, 301 nt
Filed under: uncultured bacterium
Lineage: Bacteria
Description: partial 16S ribosomal RNA
Rfam family: Bacterial small subunit ribosomal RNA
Source: RNAcentral
CAGUCGCCACGGGAAUACGUAGGGUGCGAGCGUUAAUCGGAAUUACUGGGCGUAAAGCGUGCGCAGGCGGUUGUGUAAGACAGGUGUGAAAUCCCCGGGCUUAACCUGGGAACUGCGCUUGUGACUGCACAGCUAGAGUAUGGCAGAGGGGGGUGGAAUUCCACGUGUAGCAGUGAAAUGCGUAGAGAUGUGGAGGAACACCGAUGGCGAAGGCAGCCCCCUGGGCCAAUACUGACGCUCAUGCACGAAAGCGUGGGGAGCAAACAGGAUUAGAUAACCGGGUAGUCCCUGUCUCUUAUAC